UGAAUACGAGACGCUAAGGCGUCGAAGUAGUGUAUGUCAUACUUCCAAGAAAAGCUUGCACUGUCAUAGAUAAAAAACGCCUGUACCAUAACCGACACAGGUGGGUAGGUAGAGUAUACUAAGGGGCGCGAGAUAACUCUCUCUAAGGAACUCGGCAAAAUAACUCCGUAACUUCGGGAGAAGGAGUGCCUUAUUAUUAAGGCUGCAAUAACAAGAUCCAAGCAACUGUUUAUCAAAAACACAGGUCUCCGCUAAGUCGUAAGACGAUGUAUGGGGGCUGACGCCUGCCCAGUGCCAGAAGGUUAAAGAAGUUGGUUAGCAUUUGCGAAGCUGAUAACUGAAGCCCUGGUGAACGGCGGCCGUAACUAUAACGGUCCUAAGGUAGCGAAAUUCCUUGUCGGGUAAGUUCCGACCCGCACGAAAGGCGUAAUGAUUUGGAUACUGUCUCGGAGAGGGGCUCGGUGAAAUAGACUUGUCUGUGAAGAUGCGGACUACCUGCACCAGGACAGAAAGACCCUAUGAAGCUUUACUGUAACUUGAAAUUGAAAUUGGACCUUAUUCGCGCAGCAUAGGUGGGAGGCGUUGAUUAUAAUCUUGUGGGAUUAUUGGAGCCAUCAGUGAGAUACCACUCUUGUAAUGUUAGAUUUCUAACUUUGAAUCAUUAUCUGGUCAAAGAACAGUUUCAGGCGGGCAGUUUGACUGGGGCGGUCGCCUCCUAAACGGUAACGGAGGCGUACAAAGGUUUCCUCUGAACGGUUAGAAAUCGUAUCUAGAGUGUAAAGGCAUAAGGAAGCUUGACUGUGAGACCUACAAGUCGAGCAGGGACGAAAGUCGGUCUUAGUGAUCUGACGGUACUGAGUGGAAAGGCCGUCACUCAACGGAUAAAAGUUACUCUAAGGAUAACAGGCUGAUCUCCCCCAAGAGUUCACAUCGACGGGGAGGUUUGGCACCUCGAUGUCGGCUCAUCGCAUCCUGGGGCGGUAGUACGUCCCAAGGGUUGGGCUGUUCGCCCAUGAAAGCGGUACGCGAGCUGGGUUCAGAACGUCGUGAGACAGUUCGGUCCAUAUCCGGUGUAGGCGUUAGAAUAUUGAGAGGAGCCUUCUUUAGUACGAGAGGACCGAGAAGGACAUACCUCUGGUGUACCAGUUAUCGUGCCAACGGUAAACGCUGGGUAGCUAUGUAUGGAGUGGAUAACCGCUGAAAGCAUCUAAGUGGGAAGCCCACCUCAAGAUAAG
RNAcentral lists this ribosomal RNA (1235 nucleotides) under metagenome. RNAcentral describes it as "bacterial LSU rRNA". It matches the Rfam family "Bacterial large subunit ribosomal RNA", at positions 1564 to 2808 of the family's 2925-position model. The record is from RNAcentral.